RNAcentral lists this small RNA (330 nucleotides) under Arabidopsis thaliana (thale cress). RNAcentral's name for it is "ATSL061070". Lineage: Eukaryota; Viridiplantae; Streptophyta; Magnoliopsida; Brassicales; Brassicaceae. The record is from RNAcentral.
AAAUCAAUUGCAUAUAUACCAUAAAAAAAUGUCAAAAAGACUCAAUAAGAAUGGAUUAAAAUGAAAGUUAACCAUUGAUAACUAAAUCUUAAUAAAUGUGUCGUCAUUAGUGUGUCGGACUGCAAAACUGUGGACUGCGCAUCUGCCGUCGCUAGUGUGUCGGACUCUCUGUUUCACGGUGUCUCCAGGAUAUAAUCCUCCUUUCCGGUGCCAGGUUAUUAUUCUCCGAUUUGCAUUUUUGUAACUGUGUUUCUCGUUGUGUAUUACCGUGAUCCAAUCCCAUAUUUGGGGAAAACCUUUAUAAAUGAGAAGUCCAUAUUUAUUAAAAAA